UACGUAGGGAGCAAGCGUUGUCCGGAAUCAUUGGGCGUAAAGCGCGCGUAGGUGGCUUCGUAAGUCCGUUGUGAAAGUCAAAGGCUCAACCUUUGAAGGCCGAUGGAUACUGCGGAGCUAGAGUACGGAAGAGGCGAGUGGAAUUCCUGGUGUAGCGGUGGAAUGCGCAGAUAUCAGGAGGAACACCAAUAGCGAAGGCAGCUCGCUGGGACGUUACUGACACUGAGGCGCGAAAGCGUGGGGAGCGAACAGG
RNAcentral lists this ribosomal RNA (253 nucleotides) under uncultured bacterium. RNAcentral describes it as "partial 16S ribosomal RNA". It matches the Rfam family "Bacterial small subunit ribosomal RNA", at positions 524 to 776 of the family's 1533-position model. The record is from RNAcentral.